CUAUCCUGCAAUUAACCUGUUAACAAAUCUUGUUUUUGUAUACUUUGCACUUUUACAUUUUGUGUAUUUAAUUAUUCACUGUUUCUAUUAGACUGUAAACUCAACACUUUGUUCCAGUUACAUGUAUGUUUAAAUGUGUUGUUCUGACUUUUAAUUUAUAAGUAGUAAUCAUUGGGAAUGGGCUUGUGGGGAACUCUUAAGUAUGACUGGUUUCAAAUGCUUUGGAGAAUUUUUAAAAGAAUGAAGAAAAAAAAUGAAUGACUUUACAUAUGUUUCAAAUGUAUUUUUAAAGUUGACUUUUAAGUGUAUGAAUUCUCUUGGGUAAAGCAGUAAUUUCUCCAUACAAGUCGAAAUCUUAGAACACCAAAAUAACGCUAUAUUGUGUCGGGUUUUUUUUUUUUUUUUACUAAACAAGAUCAGUUUGGUAGGGCCACAAGUAUUAUUUAAGCAUUUUGCUUGAUAAUGGUACUACAUUUUAUAAUGGUUGAUAUCUUUUUAGAAUGUUAUCCAUAUACAUAGUCAGUAAAUAGUAAGCAUCCUGCCAGUCUUUCAAGCAAUCCUAUUUGAGUGAAGGUGGAUACACUGCUUUCAAAGUAUCAAACAUAUUCCCAAAUGUGCAAUGUUUUAUGUAGAUUCUGGACGGGCUAUUAACAAAUAAAAUCCAUUUUAUUUAUCUUUUAGUCCCUUGUUGUGCCAGUCUCCCCAUGGCUACCUCUUCUGCCCUUGCUUAGAUCGUUAUUACUGAUGAUCUCAAUCAAUCAAAUGCUUUUCUGUAGGGGGCUGCACUGUGCCAAUCAACAUCUCCUUCUAGAGAUGCAUUACCAGGGGUCCUCAAACUCUGGCCCCCCAGAUGUUACUGAACUACAACUCCCAUGAUUCUCUGGCUAUCUAUGUAAUUCAAAGAAUCAUGGGAGUUGUAGUUCAGUAACAUCUGGGGGGCCAGAAUUUGAGGACCCCUGCAUUAGAUCAAUGCAUCUCUAGAGGGAGUGUUCGUUAUUCUCUGCUGUCAUUAAUUUUAAUUCAUUCCCAAGCAAGGAAAUCUUGUUUUUUGCUGCUAGUACACAAAAAAAGGUAUAUUUUUGUUACUCAGGCUGUGUGUGUGUGUGUGUGUGUGUGUGUGUAUAUAUUUGAGAACAAUAAUUUCCCAUGCAACAAAUAUCUUGUGUAAACUAUUUGAUAAACAAGAAAAAUUUAUUACAUUGGACUGUGGGUAUUAAUUUUUCUUAAGAUAUAAAAACAAAUUACUUUAAACUCUCUUCCAUUUCUUCCUAGAACCACUCUCUGUUUUUCAGGAUGGUGCACUGGAUUUUAUUUGUCUACUCUUAGAGGUGCAGGGUAGUGCAUGUGUACAGCAAGCACAUGUGAUGUUUAAAGUGAGCAAACUUAUACCAACUUUAUGAAACCCUGCGAUGCAGCCUGCCUCUAUAAGUCCGAUCAACUAUAAUUUGACAAAGUGAACAAAACAAAUUAGACUACUUCCAAAGAAUUGGAGGGACUCAAAAUGAAUUAAAUGUCUGUAUGAUAAUCAGAUACCAGGACUGUCGUACAUGCUACAAAUUCUCAGUCUCAGAAUGACAACUUUAAUAUUAUGAACACAAUGAGCAGACAAUCUGACAUGUUCGUAGGGCAUACAAUGAAUGGAUAGAGAGAGGCUAUAUUCAAGCUUCACUAAAGAGUACUGAGGACAAAAUAGAAACCCCUCAAUGUGUGUGUCUAGGAUAAACUUAAAGGAAAUAUUUAUAAAAUCUGAAACUCUGCCAAUGUGUGUAUAUAUAAAAACAAAGAAACCCCACAUCAUUAGAUGACCGUUAAGACACCUUUUAUCUAUAGUUUAACCCCUUAAGGACACAUGACGUGUGACAUGUCAUGAUUCCCUUUUAUUCCAGAAGUUUGGUCCUUAAGGGGUUAAAGGAGAACAGUAAUUUCUUGGAAACUUACACCAUUUAAAUCGGCAAAAAAAAAAAAAAUCACUGUUCAUAGGGUAUACCUCCAAUGCAUACGUUUUUCAUAGAGGUAUUCAUUGUGGGAAUGUAUUUAUUUUGUUUUUCAUUCUGUAUUCAUUGGGGGUAUAUCUUAAAAGAGCUUGCUAAGGCUGCAAUUCUUAUGAUCUGCAGCCUUUGCAAGCUCUUCCAUUUUCUACAUGUGUUCUCUACAUUGCUGACUGCCAUAUGUGAAGGACAUAGUUAAUAACAAUGACUGGCUGAAGGCUAAGAUGGAGACACCCAGGUGUCACACCUUAAACAUUUUUGAUAAAUAUAGGAAUACAUAAACCUCUAAUUUUAAAACCAUGGGAAGUGUCUUUUAAUUUAAGGGCUGACAACCCUGACAUGUAGGAGAUUAAGGUUCUUUAUGGUUUCAUGUCACCUCACCAUAUAGGACCAUAAAGUCCUAUAGUGUUCACACCUUGAGCAGUAUUUUUAGAGUGAAAUAAAGUGUAAUUUUCUCACUUGUUGCCAAUUGCAAAUAGAGUGCCAUAAUCGAACACUUUAGGUAUCUAGAUAGAAAUCCUACUUAUGGGAGUAGGUGUCUACUGGCUUUGAGUAAGCAGAUGAAAACACUAAAGAGGUUUACUACAAAUGCCAAACAUUUGCCAUCAAGUUCUUUGUUAUUGACUCAUAUUUCACCGUUGCGGUUUUAGCCACUGAGGAAUAGCACAGAUUAUAAAUCUUUAUUCAUCAUUUUGGGUUAGCACUUUUUACAUUUAUAGUAAGGUUACACGGUCCAGUGAUGAACAAAAUGUGUAAAGUUUUAAAGUAUCUGAUUCUGCAUGUAAAUAUGUGAGUAAUUAAAAUGUAAAAAUGUUAAGUAAGACUAGUUAUAAAUCUGUAACAUUGGAAUUUAUGUUUGGUGUAAAUGUUUGUAUGUUGUGCUAGCAAAGUUGCAAGCAAAUAUUACACUGUGAAUGGUAAUACUAUUAAAAUAAAUCAAUAAGCCAUGUUGAUCUACCUGUGCUGCUUUUGAUAGCAAGAUUUUCUUAAAUAAUGUGCAUGAUGAAUCGUGGGUAUGUGUUCUACAGUUAUUUACAAAGGCCUCAUACAGACUGUUCUUACAUUGUUAUGCUGUAAAACAUGUUUAAGGCACAAAAUAAUUCUUUACCCAAAUACUGCCAUUAGAUGCCUUUUUGUUUGUUUUUUGCUAUGCUUCUGUUAACAAAUUUAAAAAAAAAUAAAAAAAUUUUGAAAAUCA
Non-coding RNA from Pelobates cultripes (western spadefoot toad), 3186 nucleotides. The record is from the annotation of a GenBank genome assembly. Lineage: Eukaryota; Metazoa; Chordata; Amphibia; Anura; Pelobatidae.